This 58-nucleotide microRNA precursor is filed under the name Tupaia belangeri chinensis (Chinese tree shrew). RNAcentral's name for it is "Tupaia chinensis (Chinese tree shrew) microRNA tch-mir-9771a precursor". The record is from miRBase by way of RNAcentral. Lineage: Eukaryota; Metazoa; Chordata; Mammalia; Scandentia; Tupaiidae.
GGAAAAGUCGUGAUGUAUUUUUGGAAAGAAAAACAUAGAUACGUCAUGACUUUUUUGA